AGAACAGAUACUACACUUGA
This 20-nucleotide small nuclear RNA is filed under the name Arabidopsis thaliana (thale cress). RNAcentral's name for it is "snRNA_18745". Lineage: Eukaryota; Viridiplantae; Streptophyta; Magnoliopsida; Brassicales; Brassicaceae. The record is from RNAcentral.